RNAcentral lists this long non-coding RNA (899 nucleotides) under Lepisosteus oculatus (spotted gar). Its description in RNAcentral is "lncRNA (ENSLOCG00000021477.1)". The record is from RNAcentral. Lineage: Eukaryota; Metazoa; Chordata; Actinopteri; Semionotiformes; Lepisosteidae.
UUCGGAUGUGUGUUUGUGUCUGUCUAGUCUGAAUUGAUGCUGGUUGCAGUCUGCUUUUCCGUGAAGUCCAGGCGAUUGCAGUGCAGUAGUUGUGUUGCAUCAGUUUUGAAGCCUGUUCUUGAUUUUCUUUUACAAUCAUUUACUUUUACUGUAGUCUGCUAGUGUGUUCAAUGUUCUAUCUAGACCAUUAUCUGGUUGGGAAACAAAUGACUCACCCACAAAAACAGCCGACUCACAGUGGUGCGUCUGCGAUGUCUGUGCAUGAGCAGAACGGCCCUGAAGUCUUAGGCGCCCGCCUCAAUGUUUUCAGCACACCACUCUUGCAGCCAUGAUGACUCUCUCUGUGCUAGUUAGGCUUUCCAUUUGAAAAGGACUGGGCACUCAGCUGAUCUGUUCCAGGCUUUCACACAAACGAUCUUCUUAAACGUCAAAAACCUGAGAGGCAAGUGUGUGUUUCCACUCAAGGAUUAAUAAUUAAAAUGUAGCGAUCGAGUUAAAAGUGAUCCCUAUGCAAAUAUCGUCGUAGACAAAGCAGACAGAUUUGGGUUAGUGAUGAAAUGUUUUGGGCAUCAUUUUGAUGAAUCAUUCAUGAUUGUGAUUUUGAGUGUCGUAUCACCAAUACGUCACCUCAUUAGUGAGAGGGUUGACUGGACGUAGAUGAUGAGGUCAUAUAAUCUAUUGACUAUCAAGCCUGGUAAGAAUCCUGAACAACCGAAAGGAAUCAAUAUCUUUGCGUCAUUGUAUUGACUGGUCAAAGUUGGCAGGCUUGCUCACGGGGGUGUCGAUAACCUGGCAAGACAUUAGAACUCCAGAACUCCACUUGUAGUGAUUGAUGGCCAUCUGAGUGCGUGGGCCUCCACUGGGCAGGACCUGGGACCUCACCUGCUGCCCUUUCUGGG